Acanthochromis polyacanthus (spiny chromis) is the source of this 955-nucleotide long non-coding RNA. RefSeq lists it as uncharacterized. The record is from RefSeq and is a predicted model, not a curated record. Lineage: Eukaryota; Metazoa; Chordata; Actinopteri; Pomacentridae. The transcript is spliced from 2 exons.
UACAAUGCAUUAACAUUUUAUUACACAUUGUACAUUUCAAAAUGAGGCAUUGACAAACAACAUAGUCUAAAGUUUGUUUGACUGUAGUUCCAAAAACCUAUUUGAUAAUUUUAUUCAGGAAAAAUUGGCGGAAUAGACAAGCUUAGAUAAUCUUGAUUGGAUGAAUAUGUAAAUAUGACAUGGCUGCAACAGUUUACACAUGGUUUGUGUGUGUGUGCGUGUGUUUUUCAGAACUGAAACACCCUUCACUGACAGCUACAAUUUCUUCUGUGAGACUGUCAUCCGUCAAAGGAUUAUAGUUGACCAGGAAGUGCUGCGAAUGGACAAGCUACGAAAGACAUUCGUGGACAUAGUGAAGAAUCAAGAGGGUCUUGAUGCUUCAAAAUACAGGCAGGAUCUACUGAAGAGGAGGCUGACGCGUGACUUCCCGCAGCUCACUUUCCACUGCCCUGCCAAGAGAAACAUCAGUGAACUUGUUUUUGUUGAGACACUGUCAGCUGAUAGACUAUUACAAAAGAUACCUCCACAGUCAGGUACAUCUACCAAGUCUACUGAGGUAAGCCAAGCUGAAAGCCAAACUGAAAGUGACACAUGGCUAGCACAACAUCUGGAUGACUAAAAAUCCUGCCCCGAUAGUGUUUUGCAGGUAGUCCACUGUAGUUGCAAGACAACCAAAUGUGAAACUGAAAGAUGUUCUUGUAUGUCUGCAAGACUGUCUUGUACAGAUGUAUGUCGGUGCCAAGCAUGCGAGAAUGUUUCAAAAGAAACAGAGGACAGAGCUGUAUGGGAUGAUGACCUUGAUGAAAGUGAUAUUGAUGAGUAAUAUACGCACCAUGUCACCAUGUAUAGUUUUUCUUUUUCUUUCUUUAUUUUUUCCUAUAUUUGUAUGUGUAUUAAUCCAUAUUUUCAUAUUCAGAGACACUGUCGUAUUUGAAUAAAAUGUGAAUGACUCUGA